Molecule: ribosomal RNA, 397 nt
Filed under: uncultured bacterium
Lineage: Bacteria
Description: partial 16S ribosomal RNA
Rfam family: Bacterial small subunit ribosomal RNA
Source: RNAcentral
AUACGGAGGGUGCAAGCGUUAUCCGGAUUUACUGGGCGUAAAGGGCGUGUAGGCGGUCUUGCAAGUCAGAAGUGAAAUUCCCGGGCUUAACUUGGGCGCUGCUUCUGAAACUGCUUUACUUGAGUGCUGGAGAGGCUAGUGGAAUUCCUAGUGUAGCGGUAAGAUGCGCAGAUAUUAGGAGGAACACCGGUGGCGAAGGCGGCUAUCUGGACAGUAACUGACGCUGAGGCGCGAAAGCACGGGGAGCAAACAGGAUUAGAUACCCUGGUAGUCCGUGCCGUAAACGAUGAAUACUAGGUGUAGGGGGUAUCGACUCCCUCUGUGCCGCAGUUAACACAUUAAGUAUUCCACCUGGGGAGUACGGCCGCAAGGUUGAAACUCAAAUGAAUUGGCGGGG